GAUGAACGCUGGCGGCGUGCCUAACACAUGCAAGUCGGACGGCAAGGGUAGCAAUACCCCUAGAGUGGCGGACUGGUGAGUAACGCGUGGGUGACCUACCCUCGAGAUGGGGAUAGCCAUUAGAAAUAGUGGAUAAUACCGAAUACGCUCUGGAUGCUCUGGCGACCAGAGGAAAUCAGGCUACGGCCUGGCUCGAGGAUGGGCCCGCGUCCCAUUAGCUAGUUGGUGAGGUACGGCCCACCAAGGCGACGAUGGGUAUCCGGCCUGAGAGGGUGUACGGACACAUUGGGACUGAGAUACGGCCCAAACUCCUACGGGAGGCAGCAGCUAAGAAUAUUCCGCAAUGGACGAAAGUCUGACGGAGCGACGCCGCGUGGAUGAAGAAGGCCGAAAGGUUGUAAAAUCCUUUUGCUGAUGAAGAAUAAGUGGUGGAGGGAAUGCCAUCAUGAUGACAUUAGUCGGUGAAUAAGCCCCGGCUAACUACGUGCCAGCCGCCGCAGUAA
Molecule: ribosomal RNA, 503 nt
Filed under: uncultured bacterium
Lineage: Bacteria
Description: partial 16S ribosomal RNA
Rfam family: Bacterial small subunit ribosomal RNA
Source: RNAcentral